UAGUAGUGGUUUGGCUUUCUGCUAAUGUG
RNAcentral lists this non-coding RNA (29 nucleotides) under Rattus norvegicus (Norway rat). Lineage: Eukaryota; Metazoa; Chordata; Mammalia; Rodentia; Muridae. The record is from RNAcentral.